RNAcentral lists this ribosomal RNA (468 nucleotides) under uncultured bacterium. Its description in RNAcentral is "partial 16S ribosomal RNA". It matches the Rfam family "Bacterial small subunit ribosomal RNA", at positions 28 to 507 of the family's 1533-position model. The record is from RNAcentral.
GACGAACGCUGGCGGCGUACUUAACACAUGCAAGUCGAACGGAAAGGCCCUGCUCUUGUGGGGUGCUCGAGUGGCGAACGGGUGAGUAACACGUGAGUAACCUGCCCUUGACUUUGGGAUAACUUCAGGAAACUGGGGCUAAUACCGGAUAGGAGCUCCUGCUGCAUGGUGGGGGUUGGAAAGUUUCGGCGGUUGGGGAUGGACUCGCGGCUUAUCAGCUUGUUGGUGGGGUAGUGGCUUACCAAGGCUUUGACGGGUAGCCGGCCUGAGAGGGUGACCGGCCACAUUGGGACUGAGAUACGGCCCAGACGCCUACGGGAGGCAGCAGUGGGGAAUAUUGCACAAUGGGCGGAAGCCUGAUGCAGCAACGCCGCGUGCGGGAUGACGGCCUUCGGGUUGUAAACCGCUUUCGCCUGUGACGAAGCGUGAGUGACGGUAAUGGGUAAAGAAGCACCGGCUAACUACGUG